Molecule: ribosomal RNA, 477 nt
Filed under: uncultured bacterium
Lineage: Bacteria
Description: partial 16S ribosomal RNA
Rfam family: Bacterial small subunit ribosomal RNA
Source: RNAcentral
GAUGAACGCUAGCGGCGGGCCUAAUACAUGCAAGUCGAACGGGAAAGGUGGCAACACCUUGAGAGUGGCGUACGGGUGCGUAACGCGUAUACAACCUGCCUGUUACACGGGGAUAGCCUUGCGAAAGCGAGAUUAAUACCCGAUGGUACUAUUGAGCGGCAUCGCUUGGUAGUUAAAGCUGAGGCGGUAACAGAGGGGUAUGCGUCCCAUUAGCUAGUUGGUAGUGUAACGGACUACCAAGGCGACGAUGGGUAGGGGUUCUGAGAGGAUGAUCCCCCACACUGGUACUGAGAUACGGACCAGACUCCUACGGGAGGCAGCAGUAGGGAAUAUUGGGCAAUGGACGGAAGUCUGACCCAGCCACGCCGCGUGCAGGAAGAAGGUCCUCUGGAGUGUAAACUGCUUUUCUUGGGGAAGAAAACCCUUCUGCGGAAGGAAUUGACGGUACUCAAGGAAUAAGCAUCGGCUAACUCCGUG